This 538-nucleotide ribosomal RNA is filed under the name uncultured Glomeromycotina. RNAcentral describes it as "SSU rRNA". It matches the Rfam family "Eukaryotic small subunit ribosomal RNA", at positions 555 to 1098 of the family's 1831-position model. The record is from RNAcentral. Lineage: Eukaryota; Fungi; Glomeromycota.
GCAAGUCUGGUGCCAGCAGCCGCGGUAAUUCCAGCUCCAAUAGCGUAUAUUAAAGUUGUUGCAGUUAAAAAGCUCGUAGUUGAAUUUCGGGGUUCUACCAUUGGUCGGGCAAUAGUCAGUACUGGUGUGUAGAAUUUCUACCUUCUGGGGAACCAUCAUGUUAUUUAUUUAGCGUGGUAGGAAACCAGGACCUUUACCUUGAAAAAAUUAGAGUGUUCAAAGCAGGCUUACGUCUGAAUACAUUAGCAUGGAAUAAUAAAAUAGGACGGUGGUCCUGUUUUGUUGGUUUCUGAAUCACCGUAAUGAUUAAUAGGGAUAGUUGGGGGCAUUAGUAUUCAAUUGUCAGAGGUGAAAUUCUUGGAUUUAUUGAAGACUAACUUCUGCGAAAGCAUUUGCCAAGGAUGUUUUCAUUAAUCAAGAACGAAGGUUAGGGGAUCGAAGACGAUCAGAUACCGUCGUAGUCUUAACCAUAAACUAUGCCGACUAGGGAUCGGACGAUGUUAAUUUUUUUUGACUCGUUCGGCGCCUUACGGGAAAC